AUACCUUUCUCGGCCUUUUGGCUAAGAUCAAGUGUAGUAUCUGUUCUUAUCAGUUUAAUAUCUGAUAUGCAGCCAUUGGUCUGCUCGAUAAUAAUUGUAUUUUUUAAGGGGAGAAAUCCAUUAGGAUAGCUUUCUAUCUGGCUAUCUGGUUUCUGUGUGUCGCCUAUGCCUUGCACUACAGUAUGUGCCGACUCAACCCUC
RNAcentral lists this small nuclear RNA (201 nucleotides) under Brassica napus (rape). RNAcentral describes it as "snRNA U2". It matches the Rfam family "U2 spliceosomal RNA". Rfam says of the family: U2 is a small nuclear RNA (snRNA) component of the spliceosome (involved in pre-mRNA splicing). Complementary binding between U2 snRNA (in an area lying towards the 5' end but 3' to hairpin I) and the branchpoint sequence (BPS) of the intron results the bulging out of an unpaired adenosine, on the BPS, which initiates a nucleophilic attack at the intronic 5' splice site, thus starting the first of two transesterification reactions that mediate splicing. Lineage: Eukaryota; Viridiplantae; Streptophyta; Magnoliopsida; Brassicales; Brassicaceae. The record is from Rfam by way of RNAcentral.